CAGCGCGUAGCUAAAAUAGUAUGGCAUCUCCCUUACACCGAGAAGGUGCUCGUGCAAAUCGAGCCGCACUGA
Molecule: transfer RNA, 72 nt
Filed under: Buenia affinis (De Buen's goby)
Lineage: Eukaryota; Metazoa; Chordata; Actinopteri; Gobiiformes; Gobiidae
Description: tRNA-Val
Rfam family: tRNA
About the family: Transfer RNA (tRNA) molecules are approximately 80 nucleotides in length.
Source: RNAcentral